RNAcentral lists this ribosomal RNA (467 nucleotides) under uncultured bacterium. RNAcentral describes it as "partial 16S ribosomal RNA". It matches the Rfam family "Bacterial small subunit ribosomal RNA", at positions 28 to 506 of the family's 1533-position model. The record is from RNAcentral.
GACGAACGCUGGCGGCGUGCUUAACACAUGCAAGUCGAACGGAGAGGCCCUGCUUUUGUGGGGUGCUCGAGUGGCGAACGGGUGAGUAACACGUGAGUAACCUGCCCUUGACUUUGGGAUAACUUCAGGAAACUGGGGCUAAUACCGGAUAGGAGCUCCUGCUGCAUGGUGGGGGUUGGAAAGUUUCGGCGGUUGGGGAUGGACUCGCGGCUUAUCAGCUUGUUGGUGGGGUAGUGGCUUACCAAGGCUUUGACGGGUAGCCGGCCUGAGAGGGUGACCGGCCAAAUUGGGACUGGGAUACGGCCCAGACCCCUAGGGGGGGCAGGAGGGGGGAAUAUUGCAAAAGGGGGGGAAGCCUGAUGCAGAAACGCCGGGGGGGGGAGGAGGGCCUUGGGGUUGUAAACCGCUUUCGCCGGUGACGAAGCGGGGGUGACGGUAAUGGGGAAAGAAGCACCGGCUAACUACGU